AGAGUUKCWAUCAUGGCUCAGGAUGAACGCUGGCGGCGUGCCUAAUACAUGCAAGUCGAGCGAACAGAYGAGGAGCUUGCUCCUCUGAYGUUAGCGGCGGACGGGUGAGUAACACGYGGGUAACCUACCUAUAAGACUGGAAUAACUCCGGGAAACCGGGGCUAAUGCCGGAUAAUAUGCGGAACCGCAUGGUUCUGCAAUGAAAGACGGUCUUGCUGUCACUUAUAGAUGGACCCGCGCCGUAUUAGCUAGUUGGUAAGGUAACGGCUUACCAAGGCAACGAUACGUAGCCGACCUGAGAGGGUGAUCGGCCACACUGGAACUGAGACACGGUCCAGACUCCUACGGGAGGCAGCAGUAGGGAAUCUUCCGCAAUGGGCGAAAGCCUGACGGAGCAACGCCGCGUGAGUGAUGAAGGUCUUCGGAUCGUAAAACUCUGUUAUUAGGGAAGAACAAGUGCGUAGGUAACUAUGCGCACCUUGACGGUACCUAAUCAGAAAGCCACGGCUAACUACGUGCCAGCAGCCGCGGUAAUACGUAGGUGGCAAGCGUUAUCCGGAAUUAUUGGGCGUAAAGCGCGCGUAGGCGGUUUUUUAAGUCUGAUGUGAAAGCCCACGGCUCAACCGUGGAGGGUCAUUGGAAACUGGAAAACUUGAGUGCAGAAGAGGAAAGUGGAAUUCCAUGUGUAGCGGUGAAAUGCGCAGAGAUAUGGAGGAACACCAGUGGCGAAGGCGACUUUCUGGUCUGCAACUGACGCUGAUGUGCGAAAGCGUGGGGAUCAAACAGGAUUAGAUACCCUGGUAGUCCACGCCGUAAACGAUGAGUGCUAAGUGUUAGGGGGUUUCCGCCCCUUAGUGCUGCAGCUAACGCAUAAGCACYCCCCSCCCYG
This 889-nucleotide ribosomal RNA is filed under the name Staphylococcus aureus. RNAcentral describes it as "bacterial SSU rRNA". Lineage: Bacteria; Bacillati; Bacillota; Bacilli; Caryophanales; Staphylococcaceae. The record is from RNAcentral.